Molecule: ribosomal RNA, 253 nt
Filed under: uncultured bacterium
Lineage: Bacteria
Description: partial 16S ribosomal RNA
Rfam family: Bacterial small subunit ribosomal RNA
Source: RNAcentral
UACGUAGGGUGCAAGCGUUAAUCGGAAUUACUGGGCAUAAAGCGUGCGCAGGCGGUUAUGUAAGACAGAUGUGAAAUCCCCGGGCUCGACCUGGGAACUGCAUUUGUGACUGCAUAGCUAGAGUACGGUAGAGGGGGAUGGAAUUCCGCGUGUAGCAGUGAAAUGCGUAGAUAUGCGGAGGAACACCGAUGGCGAAGGCAAUCCCCUGGACCUGUACUGACGCUCAUGCACGAAAGCGUGGGGAGCAAACAGG